CCUACGGGUGGCAGCAGUGGGGGAUAUUGGACAAUGGGGGCAACCCUGAUCCAGCGACUCCGCGUGUGUGAUGAAGUAUUUCGGUAUGUAAAGCUCUGUCAGCAGGGAAGAAAGAAAUGACGGUACCUGACCAAGAAGCUCCGGCUAACUACGGGCCAGCAGCCGCGGUAAUACGUAGGGGGCGAGCGUUAUCCGAAUGCACUGGGUGUAAAGGGCGCGUAGACGGCGGGGCAAGGCAGGAGUGAAAGCCCGGGGCCCAACCCCGGGACUGCUCAUGGUACUGCUCGGCUGGAGUGCGGGAGGGGCAGGCGGAAUUCCUGGUGUAGCGGUGAAAUGCGUAGAUAUCAGGAAGAACACCGGUGGCGAAGGCGGCCUGCUGGACCGCAACUGACGUUGAGGCUCGAAAGCGUGGGGAGCGAACAGGAUUAGAUACCCCAGUAGUC
RNAcentral lists this ribosomal RNA (443 nucleotides) under uncultured bacterium. RNAcentral's name for it is "partial 16S ribosomal RNA". It matches the Rfam family "Bacterial small subunit ribosomal RNA", at positions 338 to 795 of the family's 1533-position model. The record is from RNAcentral.